This 253-nucleotide ribosomal RNA is filed under the name uncultured bacterium. RNAcentral's name for it is "partial 16S ribosomal RNA". It matches the Rfam family "Bacterial small subunit ribosomal RNA", at positions 524 to 776 of the family's 1533-position model. The record is from RNAcentral.
AACGUAGGAGGCGAGCGUUAUCCGGAGUUACUGGGCGUAAAGAGCGUGUAGGCGGGUAUGCAAGUUUGGCGUGAAAGCUCCCGGCUAAACUGGGAGACUGCGUUGAAGACUGCGUAUCUAGAGGCAAGUAGAGGGACGUGGAAUUCCGGGUGUAGUGGUGAAAUGCGUAGAGAUCCGGAGGAACACCAGUGGCGAAGGCGACGUCCUGGGCUUGACCUGACGCUGAGACGCGACAGCACGGGGAGCAAACGGG